Molecule: ribosomal RNA, 1241 nt
Filed under: metagenome
Description: bacterial LSU rRNA
Rfam family: Bacterial large subunit ribosomal RNA
Source: RNAcentral
UGAAUACGAGACGCUACGGCGUCGAAGCAGUCUAUGUCAUACUUCCAAGAAAAGCUUGCACUGUCAUAAACAAAUAAUGCCUGUACCAUAACCGACACAGGUGGGUAGGUAGAGUAUACUAAGGGGCGCGAGAUAACUCUCUCUAAGGAACUCGGCAAAAUGACUCCGUAACUUCGGGAGAAGGAGUGCCUUAUUUAUAAGGUUGCAAUAACAAGAUCCAAGCAACUGUUUAUCAAAAACACAGGCCUCCGCUAAGUCGUAAGACGAUGUAUGGGGGCUGACGCCUGCCCAGUGCCAGAAGGUUAAAGAAGUUGGUUAGCAUUAGCGAAGCUGAUAACUGAAGCCCUGGUGAACGGCGGCCGUAACGAUAACGGUCCUAAGGUAGCGAAAUUCCUUGUCGGGUAAGUUCCGACCCGCACGAAAGGCGUAAUGAUUUGGAUACUGUCUCGGAGAGGGGCUCGGUGAAAUAGACUUGUCUGUGAAGAUGCGGACUACCUGCACCUGGACAGAAAGACCCUAUGAAGCUUUACUGUAACCUGAAAUUGAAAUUGGACUUUAUUUGCGCAGUAUAGGUGGGAGGCGUUGAGAAUAUUCUUGCGGGAAUAUUGGAGCCAUCAGUGAGAUACCACUCUUGUAAUGUUAGAUUUCUAACUUUGAAUCAUUAUCUGGUCAAAGAACAGUUUCAGGCGGGCAGUUUGACUGGGGCGGUCGCCUCCUAAAUGGUAACGGAGGCGCACAAAGGUUUCCUCUGAACGGGUAGAAAUCGUAUCUAGAGUGUAAAGGCAUAAGGAAGCUUGACUGUGAGACCUACAAGUCGAGCAGGGACGAAAGUCGGUCUUAGUGAUCUGACGGUGCUGAGUGGAAAGGCCGUCACUCAACGGAUAAAAGUUACUCUAAGGAUAACAGGCUGAUCUCCCCCAAGAGUUCACAUCGACGGGGAGGUUUGGCACCUCGAUGUCGGCUCAUCGCAUCCUGGGGCGGUAGUACGUCCCAAGGGUUGGGCUGUUCGCCCAUGAAAGCGGUACGCGAGCUGGGUUCAGAACGUCGUGAGACAGUUCGGUCCAUAUCCGGUGUAGGCGUUAGAAUAUUGAGAGGAGCCUUCUUUAGUACGAGAGGACCGAGAAGGACAUACCUCUGGUGUACCAGUUAUCGUGCCAACGGUAAACGCUGGGUAGCUAUGUAUGGAGAGGAUAACCGCUGAAAGCAUCUAAGUGGGAAGCCCACCUCAAGAUAAGUAUUCC